This 63-nucleotide transfer RNA is filed under the name Laemobothrion atrum. RNAcentral's name for it is "tRNA-Met". Lineage: Eukaryota; Metazoa; Arthropoda; Insecta; Psocodea; Laemobothriidae. The record is from RNAcentral.
GAAAGGUAGGCUAUUAUAAGCCUGUGAGCCCAUGACUCACCGAAGGAUUCUUCUCCCCUUUCU